CCGCACAGCCGGGGAGAUAGCGGUGCCCUGUACCUGCAAUCCGCUACAGCAGGGGUGUUGUCCCGCCCCGGGUGACAUGCGGCGGAGCUUGCCCCUUAUAAGUGGCGUUGAUGUCUGGGUCUUGCGCAACAGAAUUCUGUGAACCGUGUCAGGGCAGGAAUGCAGCAGCACUAAGCGGAACCCUCUGUGUGCCGCGAGGGAGCCUGGCCUGAGCAGGCUGUAAGGGUAACGGCCGCCAAUUGAGCUCAAAGCGGGACGUGCGG
Molecule: signal recognition particle RNA, 263 nt
Filed under: Clostridium sp.
Lineage: Bacteria; Bacillati; Bacillota; Clostridia; Eubacteriales; Clostridiaceae
Description: signal recognition particle sRNA large type
Rfam family: Bacterial large signal recognition particle RNA
About the family: The signal recognition particle (SRP) is a universally conserved ribonucleoprotein involved in the co-translational targeting of proteins to membranes. Archaeal SRP consists of a 7S RNA and homologues of the eukaryotic SRP19 and SRP54 proteins. In most bacteria, the SRP consists of a 4.5S RNA and the Ffh protein (a homologue of the eukaryotic SRP54 protein).
Source: RNAcentral